This 7057-nucleotide long non-coding RNA is filed under the name Malus domestica (apple). RNAcentral describes it as "long non-coding RNA (MDOM_LNC014605)". Lineage: Eukaryota; Viridiplantae; Streptophyta; Magnoliopsida; Rosales; Rosaceae. The record is from RNAcentral.
UCUCAGUCUUUUGUCGAUCUCUCUAUGUUUAGAAAAACUAGGGCACUAAACAAAGUUGAAUCAAAAUAGCCCUAGAAAAAAACUUUUUGUCUCAUUCUUCUCUCCACUUUGGGAAGAAUCCCAUACCUAACUUUUGUCGUGCUCAACAAGAGUACGUACGAGCAAUAGCACAAAUAUUUUGCUUGAUUUCCCCCUCAAAAAUUUAUCACACAUUGAUUCCCUCUUGUAUAUAAAUGUUUCAGAAAGCAUGCAGAAUUUUCAACACACUCAAACAUAUAUAACACAAGUCAUACACAAACACUUAAUCAGCUCCUCGGCAUACACCACUCACAGCCUUUCACGUUAUUUAGCAGCACAAGAGAUUCAAUUCACAUUGAAGAGGAUGUUUAGCACAGGAGUUGCCGGAAUGAUGUUUCUGUCUGUGUUUGAAGGAAGCCUGUCAAUGAGAAACACCGAAAUUGAGCGAAGACCAUACCAUAAGAACUGCAGUUGCGCUCUCCACUCCAAGUCUGGUGUUUGCUCCAACAAUUGUCAGUGGAACCUUUCCUUCGCAAAGAAACGGUCAUGGACCGAUCGUUCCUUAUGGAUACAGGCUACUGCAACAACUCCCAAAUUCUCUUCUGCUCUCGUCACAUCCACAUCCUCUGGGAACAGCGAAAGUGUGGUUGGGGCUCAUAACACGGCCUUGUCACAUAGGCAAUAGUUGAAGGUUUUCAGAGGCUAGAUUGAUCACACGAUGAUUUUGUUGGUAUUCAAAAAAGUUUACUAACUCAAUACCAAAAUAUGUGGGUGAUAAGUUUACAAACUCUAUCACACCUCUCACUUUGCACUCUCAAUAAAAAUUGGACAAAGAAAUAGAGAAAGGAGGGAAGCUACAAGCUUCGGCAAACAAUGCACUUUGAUAUAUUUAAAAGAGUUUGCAAACACACUUCUGAAAUGGAAUGACAAAUCAGAGACAAUACCUAAAGCCUUACGGGAGGCUUAUUUAUACAAGCAGAAAAGAAGGACCACUUAAGUGCUUUUAAUAAAAUAAACACAACAGCACACACAAACAGAUCAUAUGAACUUUGGACAGUCUAGCACACAUAUGCAGCUAUCUUUCCAACUUGCAAUCAACACAGUUUCGGCUAGCACAUCACAUGGCAGCACACUGCUGUCUUGUAAUCAGCUUUCGGUUAACAGAUGGAGGGAGCAAUGAUGUUUAUAUUUGCUGGAAACAACCUGGAAAGAAAAGCUAGCAUCACAUGGAUAGACAGUUAGACAUCACAUGGCUUUUUUAUUUGACUUUCCAACAGAUUUCGGGUUAGUUAGAAGAAAUUAAAAAGGUUAGGAUAUGAGAAGCAAUUUUAAUUGUUAGUUUCUGUAAACUUAUAUAUCCUAUAGUACUCCAGCACUAGUACGUACUACUCAAGUUCAAAUUGAUUUUGAGGAAUGGCGCUUGGGGGUUCAUUUAAUUUCUUCUACAAAUGUAAAUUCUUGAAAGUACAUAUUUCUCGUGUAACUAAACAGUGUCACAUUUCUCAUCUAUAUUUUGUAAAACAUCCUUUCAGAACCACCGCUCAAGUACUUUUUUUUUUUUUUCACUUUUCGUAUAUACCUUGCAAGUCAUUAGUAUUUGAUGAGCCAAAGAAAUGUUUUCGUUUCGCUUCAUUGCAGAAAAUUUCCAAGUGAAGAUCCUAUAUUAGUUUUACAUAGGCCAAGAAAAAGCCUCCAUUUUCUUAGGUAGGUAAGGACAAAAUGGUAUUGAUAAUUCUGUAUGCAAAAAGAGGCAAAUUAAAGAAGAACAAGAUAAAGAGUUUCUUUUUCUUUUCUUUCUUUUUGUCAAAUUUUAUAGUUUAAUGAUUACAGUUAGGCAAUAGAUACCAGCAAGAGGAGUAAGGUGGUUUCACUUGAUCACUUUCGAUGGAGUUUUUUAUGUUUGUUUUAUAUUUUCUAAUUAAAGCCAAAGGAAAGAGAGGAGAGAUAGAAACAAGAGUUAAGAGAAGAUAUCAAUGAAAACAAAUAGAGAAAACGAAAGUUGAUCAAUAGAAUAUUAGGCAAAUAAUUCUUGAAUUCUUGAAUUUUUGAAUUUUUAUUAAAUCAUUCUACAUAUUCUUCUGCAUUUUUCUCUCUGAAAAUGUCUUCAACGGAGGGGGCCUGGUGAAAAAUGCGACCAUCUCUCACAUUGUGAGUGCACGAGCUAUGAACUUCUUUGUGAGUUUUACAUUUGAAUACUAGUGGUAUUUCUACUUUAAACUACACUAAGGGGAAUGAGAGGAUUUGAACCUGAGAUUCAGUUUUAGUGGGUUGAAGAAAAGGACCCUAACCACUAGAGUAAUCUACCGCUUAUAACUACAUUUUUAAUAUGAGAAGGACAAAUUUUUAAUUUUAUGACAUAACUAUAUUUUCCAAUGGAAUUUUACAGUUUAUAAUUUUCUUUCGACAAAAAUCAGCCUACGAUAAUAAAAAGUUAAAUUGCAAGACAUACAAAUUAAUUUGGUUACCCUAGCAUUACCCUUCCCAAUUUAAGUAAUUUCCUCCACUACAAAAGCACGCAGCUUGCAUAUAAAAUAGAAGGCAAAACUGUUGCUAGAUUAUGUACUUUUUUUAUCACUCCCAACAAUUCAAGAGAGUACGAGGAGUUUGUUCAUCUAAAGCAGACGAGUGAAAGCACAAGUACAUGGCGGUAUGAGCGAACCAGACAACACCAGAAUUUAUAUGCGAAGCACAAGCACAUGCCGGUACUCCUGCAUUUAGAAAAUUUUAUUCUCAGUUGGAUCUUGUACGAAGCUGUAAUUGUAGUUACUAUAUUGGACAACGAUAUCGGAUCUUUCGACCGAAAAGAGAGAACGAGUAAACACCUAGGGAGAGAACGACCCCAGCGAAUAGGAGCCAAUUAUAUUUUAACCAAAUUUUCUAACCAAUUCAAGGUUUUCUCCGGGACUUGAUGCUAAAUAAUAACCAUGGAAUCAUGAAUCAUAGAUUGAGAUGCAAACCAUCGGCAAAAAUUCGACAAAUAGAAUUGUAGUUAAACCUAAAGAUGCACCCUCUCAACUCUGAUUGAUGCAAACUAACUUAUAUAAUAAUAUCAAAUCGUUACUUUUCCAUGUGAGUGAUUACUAUAUCGUUUACUUGUAUAACGAAAACUGGGAGGCAGAUUGUCUGCCCUCCUGUUUGGGUGCCCUUCCCAUUCCCUUAAUGGGCAAUUUAUUCCUAGAAACUAAACUUUGCAAAAUUUGAGAAGAUGGAUGACCUAACCUAGAGUGCCAAAUUGAAUUGGACACCCUAGUACCUAAAAAUGCAGACACACCUUUAUUUGAAGAUGAAACACCAGAAAAGGGGUAGAAUCCAUUUCUACUUGGGCCUUGGAAAAGCAUCCUCCCCAUGUGAAGUUCCUGAAUAGAGUAUGAGUUGGGAUAUAAGGUUAGAGAGCAGUUAUUAUCAUUUGUAAAGCAAUGGAUGGAAAUAACAUUGGUUGAUGCAUUUGGGCACAGUAGUGUAUUGGGUAAUGUAAAAGUGGAUUUAGGUGUACGAAUGCAAGUGUUGCCUAUGUGUGAAAUUGUUAAACUUGUUCCACCAACAACUCCAUUGACUUGGUCCAUGCCAUUAUAAGGACGAGGAUGUGAAACAGUAGCAGGAUUAUUGGUGAUGUGAGCAUUUGCCCCUGAGUCAAACAACCACUCAUGUAUGGUAGGUACUGUUGCAGAAGCAGGAGGUACAGUAGCAGCAAAAGCUUGUAGUCGUGGGGCAGGACGCGUCCCUCAUAGGACAUGUUUAGGCGGUUGAAACAAUCGAUCGCAGAAUGACCAUGAUGACUACAGAUUUGACAUUGAAUCCGUCCAGAAGUGAAAUUACCUUGGGAGUGAGCGGGGCCGAGAAUCCCAUCAUUGUGGCGAGAGUGGGACCCUUGGUAAGAGUGAGACCCAUUGUGUUGAGGUUGGUGAGAAAAAGGAGAGUUGCAAUGUCUAUUUGAAGAGCCACGACCAUUAUUGAAAUUACUACGACCGUGGAACCCAGUAGAGGAUCCUCGUCCGUGAAAAACAGUAGGUGUACGAUCUCCAUUGCGAACCGCUGCAAGAGCAGUGAGGCCGCUGUCAGUACCAAAUGCAGAAUGCAUUUUUUGUCGUCUUUCAGCUUCAAGGAGAAGUGCUUCUAAAGCACUAUAGGUAAUAGCCUCAUCACAAGCUUGGGCUGAUGCAACAGUGCUUUCAUAGGCAGGGCCGACGUUGUUGAGAAUGAUGGCGACAAUGUCGGAGUCUGAAAUAGGAGCACCAGAGAGAGAAAGGGUAUCUGUGAGACAAUUAAUUUUAUCCAAAAAUUCGGAAAUGGAAGAAUCACCUCUGUGAGUAUUCAUCAACUCACUAUGAAGCUGGAAAAGGCGACUGGUUGACUGAGAAGCAUAUCGAUCACGUAAUGUUGUCCAGGCAGAAUGAGAGCUUGUUUUCCCAAUUAAAGCAGCAAGUAUGGUGGGGUGAAUGGAAGAGUUGAUCCAAGACAUGACGGAAACUUGCGCGACGUAUCAAAUUUCGUCGCGCAAACAUACUUUGCGCGACGCUACAAAGAAACCGUCGCGCAAACAUACUUUGCGCAACGACACUUUGAGCGACGCCAGGCUUCGUCGCGCAAAGAUGUUUUGCGCAACGUAGGUACCCCUGCGUCGCGCAAGGCCGUUUUGCGCGACGCCAGGCUUCGUCGCACAAAGUUUUGGCGCCAAAUCAAGAUAAUUUACCACUUUUUUCCUAAUUUUGCGCGACGCUGGUGCACAUACGUCACGCAAAGAUGUUUUGCGCGACGUAGGCAUCCCUGCGUCGCGCAAAACAGCUUUGAGCGACGUAUGUCUUUGUCGCGUGAAGCUGUUUUGCGCGACGUAGGUAAAUAUUUUUUUUUUUUUUGGGCCUAUCUUUUGGGGUUCUUGCAUUGCCUUUUUCUUUUGUUGUAUCCACUUGUGUAAAUGUUUUAAAUUGACGAUCGAAUUAAUUCAUUGUAUUCAUAUAGGGUUAAGGAAUGUAGCUGUAAAAAGUCAUCAAAAUCGGAGUUAAAAUAACCGUUAAAUCGUGAUUUUUCAUUUAUCGCCGUCGAAAAGGUUUGUCCCAUUACUUGAUAUCUGAAUAUUUUUUUUGCAAUUUUUAGCAUAUGCGAUCUCGAAACAUGUACAAACAAGUUUGACGGUUGGAUCGUUGAAACUAAUUUCGUACAAUGCGUUUCCCAUCAAAACAAUAGAUUUACUAACACUUAAAGUUUAUUUAUACUUUCAUUAAGUAUAAUAUAAAAUUUUGUGGUAUUCACUUUUGUAAAUGUUUUAAUUCGUUGAUCGAAUUAGUUCAUAAGCAAAAGGGAAAUACAUAUUUAAAAAAAACAAAAAAAAAAGAAAAACAAAGGCUUUGCGCGACGUAGGUACCCUUGCGUCGCGCAAAACAUCUUUGCGCGACGUAGGCCUACGUCGCGCAAAGCGUUUUUUUUUUUUUUUUUGGGCCUUUUGCUUUUCUUUUGGGGUUCUUACAUUGUCUUUUGCUUUUGUUGUAUCCACUUAUGUAAAUAUUUUAAAUUGACGAUCGAAUUAGUUCAUUGUAUUCAUAUAGGGUUAAGGAGUGUAGCUGUAAAAAAUCAUCAAAAUCGGAGUUAAAAUAACUGUUUUAUAGUGAUUUUUCGUUUAUAACCGUCGAAAAGUUUUGUCCCGUUACUUGAUCUCUGAAUGUUUAUUUUUUAUGAUUUUUGGCAUAUACGAUCUCGAAGCAUAUACAAACAAGUUUGACGGUUGGAUCGUUGAAACUAGUUUCGUACAAUGUGUAUCCCAUCAAAACAAUGACCAUGGAAUCAAAGACUGAUAUGCAAACUAUCGACAAAAAUUCGACAAACAGAAAAACUAAAGAUGCACCCACUCAACUCUAAUUGGUGCAAACUAAUAUAAUAAUAUCAAACCGUUACGUUUCCAUGUGAGUGAUUACUAUAUCGUUUACUUGUAUAACGAAAGCUGAUGCUUGAAUGAGACCUACAUGUCAGUAUUUGCAUGGAAUCAAUCGCCAAACAAGGCCUAAUAAUACAAUGUGCAGCCUUUUCUCACUAGUUAGGUAAAUAACGCCUUGUUGAAUCAAUGCAUGCUAACAGCCUCAGACUAAACUAAUUAGUACUUAGAUUCAAAAGCCAAGCCACGAAAUGGAAAGCCAAGUCGAACGCUUCUCUCAGUCUUUUGUCGAUCUCUCUAUGUUUAGAAAAACUAGGGCACUAAACAAAGUUGAAUCAAAAUAGCCCUAGAAAAAAACUUUUUGUCUCAUUCUUCUCUCCACUUUGGGAAGAAUCCCAUACCUAACUUUUGUCGUGCUCAACAAGAGUACGUACGAGCAAUAGCACAAAUAUUUUGCUUGAUUUCCCCCUCAAAAAUUUAUCACACAUUGAUUCCCUCUUGUAUAUAAAUGUUUCAGAAAGCAUGCAGAAUUUUCAACACACUCAAACAUAUAUAACACAAGUCAUACACAAACACUUAAUCAGCUCCUCGGCAUACACCACUCACAGCCUUUCACGUUAUUUAGCACAAGAGAUUCAAUUCACAUUGAAGAGGAUGUUUAGCACAGGAGUUGCCGGAAUGAUGUUUCUGUCUGUGUUUGAAGGAAGCCUGUCAAUGAGAAACACCGAAAUUGAGCGAAGACCAUACCAUAAGAACUGCAGUUGCGCUCUCCACUCCAAGUCUGGUGUUUGCUCCAACAAUUGUCAGUGGAACCUUUCCUUCGCAAAGAAACGGUCAUGGACCGAUCGUUCCUUAUGGAUACAGGCUACUGCAACAACUCCCAAAUUCUCUUCUGCUCUCGUCACAUCCACAUCCUCUGGGAACAGCGAAAGUGUGGUUGGGGCUCAUAACACGGCCUUGUCACAUAGGCAAUUAGUUGAAGGUUUUCAGAGGCUAGAUUGAUCACACGAUGAUUUUGUUGGUAUUCAAAAAAGUUUACUAACUCAAUACCAAAAUAUGUGGGUGAUAAGUUUACAAACUCUAUCACACCUCUCACUUUGCACUCUCAAUAAAAAUUGGACAAAGAAAUAGAGAAAGGAGGGAAGCUACAAGCUUCGGCAAACAAUGCACUUUGAU